Firmicutes bacterium CAG:194 is the source of this 175-nucleotide regulatory RNA element. It matches the Rfam family "Lysine riboswitch aptamer". From Rfam's summary of the family: Riboswitches are metabolite binding domains within certain messenger RNAs that serve as precision sensors for their corresponding targets. Allosteric rearrangement of mRNA structure is mediated by ligand binding, and this results in modulation of gene expression. The record is from Rfam. Lineage: Bacteria; Bacillati; Bacillota.
AAAUGAGAUAGAGGUCGCAUUUUUCAACAGUAGAUCCGGGGAUGCAGCAGGUGCAGAGGAACAGGAAGGAAAGGGAAAGAUGCCGAAAGAAAAGGUGCCUGACCACUUUAUUCUUGGGCAUGCAGUUAAGAGCUGUAUGACUGUCAUCAGUAAAUGAUGGGGAGCUAUCGGAGAU